GAUCAUGGCUCAGGAUGAACGCUAGCGGCAGGCUUAACACAUGCAAGUCGAGGGGCAGCGCGGGGCGGCAACGUCCUGGCGGCGACCGGCGGAAGGGUGCGUAACGCGUGAGCGACAUGCCCGUUGCCCGGGGACAACCGGUGGAAACGCCGACUAAUCCCCGAUGGGACGGAGGCCCUCAUGGGUCGUCUGUUGAAGUUACGGCGGCGACGGAGUGGCUCGCGUCCGAUUAGCUAGUUGGCGGGGUAACGGGCCC
RNAcentral lists this ribosomal RNA (256 nucleotides) under uncultured bacterium. RNAcentral describes it as "partial 16S ribosomal RNA". It matches the Rfam family "Bacterial small subunit ribosomal RNA", at positions 15 to 266 of the family's 1533-position model. The record is from RNAcentral.